This 468-nucleotide ribosomal RNA is filed under the name uncultured bacterium. Its description in RNAcentral is "partial 16S ribosomal RNA". It matches the Rfam family "Bacterial small subunit ribosomal RNA", at positions 28 to 507 of the family's 1533-position model. The record is from RNAcentral.
GACGAACGCUGGCGGCGUGCUUAACACAUGCAAGUCGAACGGACAGGCCCGGCGCUUGUGGGGUGCUCGAGUGGCGAACGGGUGAGUAACACGUGAGUAACCUGCCCUUGUCUUUGGGAGAACUUCAGGGAACUGGGGCGAAUACCGGAUAGGAGCUCCUGCUGCAUGGUGGGGGUUGGAAAGUUUCGGCGGUGUGGGAUGGACUGGCGGCUUAUCCGCUGCUUUGUGGGGUAGUGGCUUACCAGGGCUUCGACGGGUAGCCGGCCUGGGAGGGUUACCGGCGUCCAUAGGCCUACGAGACGGACCAGACGGCAACGGGACGCAGCAGUGGAGAAUAUUGCACAGUGGGCCGAAGCCUGUUGCAGCGACGCUGCGUGCGGGAUGCCGUCUUUCGGGUUGUGAACCGCUUUCUAAGUUAACGAAGACUGCGUGACGGUAAUGGGUAAAGAAGCACCGGCUAACUACGUG